RNAcentral lists this unclassified non-coding RNA (398 nucleotides) under Hevea brasiliensis (rubber tree). The record is from RNAcentral. Lineage: Eukaryota; Viridiplantae; Streptophyta; Magnoliopsida; Malpighiales; Euphorbiaceae.
GUUUAAACAUCACUAAACUGCUGUAAGCUCUGUUUAAUAGACUUUGUAAGUAGUCUGUAUAAAACUGUGGUGUUAAUCAUGGAUAUCUAGAAACACUCUUACCUUCUACCAAUUGCAGGUAUACUAUAUAUAAGAAUAAUCAUGUCGCUACAACAGAUAUUAUAGAUCCAAAACUACUUAUUAAGUUUCAACCAGCAAAUGCGUCAGGAUAAUCACUUAUUCUUCUAGGCAUACCUUGUAAUCCUAAGAAAUGUUGAGGGAAGAAUGUAACAUUAACUCCUAUAAAUAAUAUUCAGAAAUGAACUUUACUUAGCAUUAUGUUAUAAUCUAAACCUAACAUUUUUGGUAUUCAAAAGUAUCAACCACUGAACAAUGCGAAAACUGCACCCAUACUUAAA